This 253-nucleotide ribosomal RNA is filed under the name uncultured bacterium. Its description in RNAcentral is "partial 16S ribosomal RNA". It matches the Rfam family "Bacterial small subunit ribosomal RNA", at positions 524 to 776 of the family's 1533-position model. The record is from RNAcentral.
UACGUAGGGGGCGAGCGUUGUUCGGAGUUACUGGGCGUAAAGGGCGCGUAGGCGGCGCUCCAAGUUAGGCGUGAAAGCCCCGGGCUCAACCUGGGAAUUGCGCUUAAGACUGGAGUGCUCGAGUGCGGAAGAGGUGAGUGGAAUUCCCAGUGUAGAGGUGAAAUUCGUAGAUAUUGGGAAGAACACCAGUGGCGAAGGCGGCUCACUGGUCCGCAACUGACGCUGAGGCGCGAAAGCGUGGGGAGCAAACAGG